GUGAGGAAUCUUCCACAAUGGGCGAAAGCCUGAUGGAGCAACGCCGCGUGAAGGAUGAAGGCCUUCGGGUUGUAAACUUCUUUUAUGAGUGAAGAAUAUGACGGUAACUCAUGAAUAAGCACCGGCUAACUACGUGCCAGCAGCCGCGGUCAUACGUAGGGUGCAAGCAUUAUCCGGAGUGACUGGGCGUAAAGAGUUGCGUAGGCGGUUUAAUAAGUGAAUAGUGAAACCUGGUGGCUCAACCAUACAGACUAUUAUUCAAACUGUUAAACUCGAGAGUGGUAGAGGUAACUGGAAUUUCUAGUGUAGGAGUGAAAUCCGUAGAUAUUAGAAGGAACACCAAUGGCGUAGGCAGGUUACUGGACCAUUUCUGACGCUAAGGCACGAAAGCGUGGGGAGCGAACUGGAUUAGAAACCCUAGUAGUCC
Molecule: ribosomal RNA, 427 nt
Filed under: uncultured bacterium
Lineage: Bacteria
Description: bacterial SSU rRNA
Rfam family: Bacterial small subunit ribosomal RNA
Source: RNAcentral